Long non-coding RNA from Caretta caretta (loggerhead turtle), 1126 nucleotides. RefSeq lists it as uncharacterized. Lineage: Eukaryota; Metazoa; Chordata; Testudines; Cheloniidae. The record is from RefSeq and is a predicted model, not a curated record.
GGGAAAGAGGUUUAAAAGAAGCUGGGGAUGCAAAUCGUGCGAGAGGCAGACAGGGGGGUAGCUUAACUUUACGCUCCCCGGAAACAGUCUACGCGGAGAAAGACAGACUGCCUGAUCUUGAGUGCAUCAUCCCCUCCUGAAUCCAUCUUGAAUGCAAGACAGCUGAGAAUCGGCUACCUACUUGUGCAAGCACCUGGAUUGGCAGGAAUCAGUCCUACUCCACUGAUAUGGUUAAGCAUAUACAGAAUAUACUGUCCCGUGAUGUGAAAUAAGAGUUUUGGGCCAGAUCCUGAGCUGCUAUAAAUCAGUGUACCUCAAUUGAAGUUAAUGGAGCCACAGAUAUGCCCACUUACACUAGUUGAGAAUCUGUCCCUUUAUUUCUUUAUUCGGGGCUAUGCGACUUGUGAGUAAUAAGUCAAAGUCAUGCUGACAAGACCUUUAUACCUCUCUUCACUAUCAUGUUUUUACACACACACACACACACACACCCGUACAAGUGCAGUUUCCCUACUUCUUGGCCUUUUCAAUAAGAUGAAGAGUAACAGUGACAGUAGCAUGGCCAAUUAGGUUAAUCCGAGGUGUGAUUAUUGCUCCUUGAAAACUUCCUUCCCUGACAAACCAAGGGCUGCGCCGCACCCAUGUAUCUAUUUGCUACACCAGUACUGACUUGAACUCUAAAUACAUUCUAUGGGUGGCAUACCUGAGAUCACUUAUUCACUGACGCUUUAAAAACUCCUGCACCCCAAUCUGGGUCUAUGCUGGUUAUGUACUAUGUAUGUAUCUUGUGACCCUAGUAACAGAUACUUGUAAUCCCUCAUAACUGAAGCCUGACCCCAGAUGCCCAGUACCUUCUCUCAACUUAUGUAAAUUUGAUUUUAAACAUUAGCUUUAAUUCUUUAAAUCUGUUCUUAUGAGUUAAAUAUCAGAUGCAUUCCCUACCAUCUAAUAUGUACUUUGUCUUGGGGACUGAAUAUGUCCUGCAGCCAUUGCAGGCAAAUGUUUGUGAUGAUGUGUUUUUAUAAGUCUUUUCCACCUCUAACUUCUCUAAGAUGAGACUUUACUGAAUUUCAAUUUGAGUCAGAACAUGUCUUAUUUUACAUGAACAUUAAAGUUGCAAUGCAUUUUA